Non-coding RNA from Aspergillus egyptiacus, 101 nucleotides. Lineage: Eukaryota; Fungi; Ascomycota; Eurotiomycetes; Eurotiales; Aspergillaceae. The record is from the annotation of a GenBank genome assembly.
GGCACUGUGGCGGAGUGGUUAACGCGAUGCCCUGCUAUGGUUUAACCGAACCAAGUCAGGCAUUGCCUUCGGGCGCGUGAGUUCGAAUCUCACCGGUGUCG